This 306-nucleotide ribosomal RNA is filed under the name uncultured bacterium. Its description in RNAcentral is "bacterial SSU rRNA". It matches the Rfam family "Bacterial small subunit ribosomal RNA", at positions 29 to 322 of the family's 1533-position model. The record is from RNAcentral.
AACGAACGCUGGCGGCGUGAUAAGACAUGCAAGUCGAACGGGACUAAAUCUGUAGCAAUACAGGUUUAGUUUAGUGGCGAACGGGUGCGUAACACGUGGGCAAUCUGCCGAGAAGUGGGGGAUAGCUCGCCGAAAGGCGAAUUAAUACCGCAUAUGAUCAGGCUAAGACAUCUUAGCGACAUCAAAGCCGGGGUAACCUGGCGCUUCUUGAUGAGCCGNGGCCUAUCAGCUAGUUGCGAGGUACGGCUCACCAAGGCUAUGACGGGUAGCUGGUCUGAGAGGACGACCAGUCACACUGGGAACUGA